Molecule: long non-coding RNA, 2617 nt
Organism: Chroicocephalus ridibundus (black-headed gull)
Lineage: Eukaryota; Metazoa; Chordata; Aves; Charadriiformes; Laridae
Exons: 3
Source: RefSeq, a predicted model, not a curated record
CCGGGGGGCGCCAGGCGGGGCAGCCUCACCUUCUCGCGGCUCUUGCGCUCCUCUCGCCGCCGCUCGAACUCCUCGAAGGAGAUCUUCCCCUCCAGACAACUUCCAGAUAGUGGACUCAUCAAGAACCAGAACAACAGUAGCAAUGGAAGAGCUUGUAAAAAGGUGGCCCCCGGUACAGGAGAACUUUCUUUGUUUAUUUUCUAGGUAAUUACUUAUUUCCAGUUUUAUUUUGUGUAUAAUUUACCUUCUAAAUCAACCAGCAGUGGGAAUACGUUCCUCUAGAGGAAAAAAAAAAAAAGCCAGAACAACAGGCAGUUUUCUUCUGUCUUCGCCCCCACCCCCAAUUCUUUCAUGCACUUAAUUUAUUCAGAAAGAAAAACCUUGGGGAUAUGCAGUAUAUUCAGAUAAUAAAACAUACCAAAGUCAUCUGUAGUUUGAAACAAGCUUUAUUACUGUUGGACUAUUAUGUUACCCCCUAACAGAAUUUAGGCAGUUUGGCUGACUGAUGAAGUAUGCAGAUAUGCAAGGGAGUGAAUUAGCAUGUAUUUCUCUGUGAGCUGUCUUUAAAAAACCCUACAAACUUGUAUUGUUGCUUUCCGAGCUAAAAGAGUCUGAGAAAUUGUUUGAGCUAAAAGUCUCUUUAGACUUAGUGCCCAUUUUAAUGUGGGGAUUGCGGUAGUUGUGGUAUUUUUGCCCAAAGUUUUUUGGUUGUGGGGUUUUUUUUUUGUUUGUUUUGUUUUUUGGUUCUUUUUAAAAGAAUUUCAUUAUAUCUCUUUCCUUCAGUGAAAGUCAAAUAUAAGUGGAACAUAUUCAUAUUAAAAUGCUAUUAGUAUGGUUACACUGAUUAGACAAAAUUGCAUCCUCCUUUGAGAACAGUAUGUAAUUUAACAAAUACUUUCCAAGACAGAUGUUAGUGUUCUGCCUUUUGAAUGCAGCCAAAUUUAAGCACUAGGUUUUUCUUGACAAGUUAUGUCUAUAGACACACAUCUUCAGUAAAUCCAAUCUUUUGAAAGGGGCUAUACUAAUUAUAUAGCCUUUAUGGCACAGUAAUAUUCAUAUAUAUUUGAAUUAAAUUGCACCGAAGCUGAAAAUGCUCAUAGCUUUGCAUGUUCAGUUUCAUGCAAGUUACUUCAAAAAGGUAAAAAUCUUGUUCUGGAACAAAAGGCAAAUUUAAAACUAAUUAGUUUAGCUGUAGAACAAGUUUUAUACAUGUAAUGUUUUAUAUAAACUAUAUUAUUCAUCAAACAUUUUCCAUUUUAUUGCAUUUCGAUGACAAGGCAUAUGUAACAGCCUAAGGUGCAUGAGAUAAGAUAUUGAGACAAGUUUCAUCAGGUAUGAUCUUUAUUGUUUUCUACUCAAGAUGUGAAAAAAGUGUCUGUUACCUGAAGUACUGCUCUAACCACAAUGCUUUUUUUCCACUGUUUUUAUUUUCUGGUUAGAACCCCAAGUAUUACAAGUUAGAAGGAAAAGCGCGAAACUGCUCCACAUGAGUACCUGAGCAAAGACUAAAGGCAAAUGUUUAUCACAACACUCAUUUGCACAUUUGUACAACAGAAGUACGGGUAACAUUCACCACAUGCUACACAGUAUGACUGUUCAUAUGCCUUUGGAAGAAAAGAAUGGAGAGUGGAGAUGCCCUGACACCAAUGCAGUGAUAAGAAAUGGAGUUCCUGGAAGGAGGAAGAACAGAAUAAAAGGAGUAAAUAAAGCAUGCAGGUGAAAAUCACAGAUGAUCAUUCAUGGAAAAAGAUACAGGAGGUAAUGCAACUCAGAGUAAAACAUUAGCUGUAGGAAUAAGUAACAAAGAAACUAAUGACUUGGCAGAUGCUAACCUCUAAUGACAAGAAAAAAACCUCAAAACACACAAUUGAAACAAAACAAAAUUGUAAGGAGAUGAAAAGAGGAGGAGAGUAUUUAAAACUAAACACACAAAAAACACUCAAAGAAACCCAAAGAAAACUGUCAGCAGCUUUUUCUGGCAAACUUCUUUUUUAACUAUGUUUGCAAAAAAGAACAGGUAGUUAUUAUCUGCUUGUAUCCGCACAUGCUUACAUCUUGGAUCCUGCACCUUAAAGUAACUGAAAAAACAAAGACAGUUCACAACGCAUGAAACCUAAUGCUUCUCCACUUCUUUUUAAACAGCUCACAAUAUACUGCAGUCUCAGUCCAUAUCCAUCUAAUAAAUCAUAUUUGUCAUCCCCUUAUUAAAAACACCCCUGAACUACACAGACUACCUAUCUGGAAAAAAAUAUUAACCUAUAGUACUUAUCAGCAUCUAGAAAUUAAAUUUAUUUCUUUAGAUGAGGCAUGCAUAAUCAAAUACCAAAAUUUAGACAAAAACUACUGUUCUGUAUGUAUUCAGAGACUAAAUUUUAUUCUUAAAUGAACCUGAAUCUAGUUCACACGUCAGUGAUCUUGAACAGUGAAUGCAACAGUCGUAAGUGAUGGAAUAGGCUACUUGUGUCCUGGCUUUUCUUUCACAUCAUGCACACAGUAAGUAAACAGCCAUCCAGUCCCCACAGCACAACCAAAUACUAUCCAAGGCAAGACGAUAACCAUUUGAAACGAACAGGUUUGCCAAACAAUUUUUGGUCACAAUUUUGACUAGAAGCUGGAA